Molecule: ribosomal RNA, 468 nt
Filed under: uncultured bacterium
Lineage: Bacteria
Description: partial 16S ribosomal RNA
Rfam family: Bacterial small subunit ribosomal RNA
Source: RNAcentral
GACGAACGCUGGCGGCGUGCUUAACACAUGCAAGUCGAACGGAAAGGCCCUGCGUUUGUGGGGUGCUCGAGUGGCGAACGGGUGAGUAACACGUGAGUAACCUGCCCUUGACUUUGGGAUAACUUCAGGAAACUGGGGCUAAUACCGGAUAGGAGCUCCUGCUGCAUGGUGGGGGUUGGAAAGUUUCGGCGGUUGGGGAUGGACUCGCGGCUUAUCAGCUUGUUGGUGGGGUAGUGGCAUACCAAGGCUUUGACGGGUAGCCGGCCUGGGAGGGUGACCGGCCUCCUUGGGCCUGCGAUACGGCCCAGUCUCCUACGGGAGGCAGCAGUGGGGAAUAUUGCACAAUGGGCGGAAGCCUGAUGCAGCAGCGCCGCGUGCGGGAUGCCGGCCUUCGGGUUGUGAACAGCUUUCGCCUGUGACGAAGCGUGAGUGACGGUAAUGAGUAAAGAAGCACCGGCUAACUACGUG